GUCACAAUGGACCACUGGUUCCAUGAGCCCCCGCUGUGUCACAAGGGUGUGCUUGGUUCCAUGAGGAACCAAAAAGCUCUGCAUAAACAUUGAGCAACAGUUGCUUAACACAGCUGGGAACAUCUGUUUGCAUUCAAAAGGGAGGUUAAAGGUGCCUUUAACCUGCCAGCUAUCUGCUGGGAUCUCAACACAGCAGAGAAGAGGCAGUCCAGGAGGUUCCUAGAGUGUAUGAGGACAACUUCUUGUAACAGCUGGGGAGUGAGCCCACCAGGGGAGGGACUACCCAGACCUGCUGUUCACAAACGGGUGAACUGGAGAAGGGCUGGUGGGACAUGUGGGGGUUGGAGGCCAUCUGGGGUACAGUGACCAUGAAAUUACAGAGUUUUCAGUAUUUAGUGAUAAAAGGAGGGGCAUCAAUACAACUUCCACACUGGAUCUCCAGAGGGCAGACUUUGGCCUAUUAAAGAGACUUAUUUGAGA
This is a long non-coding RNA of Vidua chalybeata, 480 nucleotides long. RefSeq lists it as uncharacterized. The transcript is spliced from 2 exons. Lineage: Eukaryota; Metazoa; Chordata; Aves; Passeriformes; Viduidae. The record is from RefSeq and is a predicted model, not a curated record.